CCUACGGGUGGCAGCAGUGAGGAAUAUUGGUCAAUGGGCGGAAGCCUGAACCAGCCAAGUCGCGUGAGGGAUUAAGGCCCUGCGAGUCGUAACCCUCUUUUGCCGGGGAGCAAAGGUCCGGACGUGUCCGGGCCGGGAGAGUACCCGGAGAAAAAGCAUCGGCUAACUCCGUGCCAGCAGCCGCGGUAAUACGGAGGAUGCGGGCGUUAUCCGGAUUUGUUGGGGUUAAGGGGUGCGUAGGCGGGGAUUUAAGCCGGCGGUCACAUGUCGGGGCUCAACCCCGGCCUGCCGUCGGAACUGGGUGCCUUGAGUGGGCGAGAAGUAUGCGGAAUGCGUGGUGUAGCGGUGAAAUGCAUAGAUAUCACGCAGAACCCCGAUGGCGAAGGCAGCAAACCGGCGCCCUACUGACGCUGAGGCACGAAAGUGCGGGUAGCGAACAGGAUUAGAUACCCGAGUAGUC
RNAcentral lists this ribosomal RNA (460 nucleotides) under uncultured bacterium. RNAcentral describes it as "partial 16S ribosomal RNA". It matches the Rfam family "Bacterial small subunit ribosomal RNA", at positions 338 to 795 of the family's 1533-position model. The record is from RNAcentral.